Molecule: ribosomal RNA, 459 nt
Filed under: uncultured Streptococcus sp.
Lineage: Bacteria; Bacillati; Bacillota; Bacilli; Lactobacillales; Streptococcaceae
Description: partial 16S ribosomal RNA
Rfam family: Bacterial small subunit ribosomal RNA
Source: RNAcentral
ACGGAAGGCAGCAGUAGGGAAUCUUCGGCAAUGGGGGCAACCCUGACCGAGCAACGCCGCGUGAGUGAAGAAGGUUUUCGGAUCGUAAAGCUUUGUUGUAAGAGAAGAACGUGUGUGAGAGUGGAAAGUUCAUACAGUGACGGUAACUUACCAGAAAGGGACGGCUAACUACGUGCCAGCAGCCGCGGUAAUACGUAGGUCCCGAGCGUUGUCCGGAUUUAUUGGGCGUAAAGCGAGCGCAGGCGGUUUAAUAAGUCUGAAGUUAAAGGCAGUGGCUUAACCAUUGUUCGCUUUGGAAACUGUUAGACUUGAGUGCAGAAGGGGAGAGUGGAAUUCCAUGUGUAGCGGUGAAAUGCGUAGAUAUAUGGAGGAACACCGGUGGCGAAAGCGGCUCUCUGGUCUGUAACUGACGCUGAGGCUCGAAAGCGUGGGGAGCAAACAGGAUUAGAUACCCUGGUA